Molecule: ribosomal RNA, 301 nt
Filed under: uncultured bacterium
Lineage: Bacteria
Description: partial 16S ribosomal RNA
Rfam family: Bacterial small subunit ribosomal RNA
Source: RNAcentral
CAGCCGCCGCGGAAUACAGAGGGUGCAAGCGUUAAUCGGAAUUACUGGGCGUAAAGCGCGCGUAUGUGGUUUGUUAAGUUGGAUGUGAAAGCCCCGGGCUCAACCUGGGAACUGCAUCCAAAACUGGCAAGCUAGAGUACGGUAGAGGGUGGUGGAAUUUCCUGUGUAGCGGUGAAAUGCGUAGAUAUAGGAAGGAACACCAGUGGCGAAGGCGACCACCUGGACUGAUACUGACACUGAGGUGCGAAAGCGUGGGGAGCAAACAGGAUUAGAUACCCCCGUAGUCCCUGUCUCUUAUACA